Olea europaea var. sylvestris is the source of this 914-nucleotide long non-coding RNA. RefSeq lists it as uncharacterized. NCBI's taxonomy places the organism in Eukaryota, Viridiplantae, Streptophyta, Magnoliopsida, Lamiales, Oleaceae. The record is from RefSeq and is a predicted model, not a curated record. The transcript has 2 exons.
UGUCUUGAACUUAAUUGUAGAAUUGAAUCUUAACCCAUCCUUUAAAUCUUUCUUGGCAUUACACAUUUCUCGCAUAGCAAUUUUAAUCUUAUUAAUUAAAAAUUACAUGAAACGAUAUAGGUUCUCUUCUUUUCUAUUAUGCAUCUGUUGCAGCUUAUCACAUCAUUCGAACUACAGUUUCCAAAUUCUUACUUGAAAAAAAUAUAUGUUCUGUUCUUUCCUAUUUUGCAUCUAUUGCAUCUUAUCACGUCAUUGGAAUUUUAGUUUAGCAUUACGAAUUUGGGUCUGGCUUUUAGUUGGCCACCGAGAAGCUAAUUCAGCAAUUGGAAUGAUGAACCUUCAGUUUUUUAUUUAUUUUUACUUAUUUUUUCAAGUACUUCAUCUAUGUGUAAUUUUCUUUAAUCGGAACUUGCAUUGCACCAGUUGAUAGACUAAAGCUGGAAUAUAUAGUCUGUGAUGGAAAGAGGAAUAUACUUGAGCUCAUCAAGAAAAUAAAAGUACCUCAAGGCCUGAAAGGUUUUUGGAAGUUUCUAGCUUAAGUGAUUGGACCUUUGAUCAUUUGGCAUUUGAGGUUGUGAGGGAGCAGCUCCAAGCAAGGCCAAGCUACUAAAAUGAGUGCGUUGACAACAGCUUGCAAGAUCGUUGAACAAGGAGGUCUUCCUGCUCAUUAAAUGGGUCUUCUUCCCAGCUUACUACAGUUAUAGUAUAUGUUAUGUCAUGUUUUAUAAGGAGGAGAUAAUAUUAUGGAACAAAAAGAAGCUAAAAUUUUAUUCAUUACAUUGUCGAGUACCGUAUACCAAACAUGCAUUAUAUGAAGUCUUCCUCUGGCUUCUGACUUUUAGUCUUUGAUAGAAUUUCUCAAUUUCAUGUUUAUAUUGAUUAAUAUGCAAUCAAUUCUUUAUGUUUCCCAAUCA